Molecule: ribosomal RNA, 711 nt
Filed under: Pectobacterium brasiliense
Lineage: Bacteria; Pseudomonadati; Pseudomonadota; Gammaproteobacteria; Enterobacterales; Pectobacteriaceae
Description: bacterial LSU rRNA
Rfam family: Bacterial large subunit ribosomal RNA
Source: RNAcentral
AUCCGGGUUGCGGACAGUGUCUGGUGGGUAGUUUGACUGGGGCGGUCUCCUCCCAAAGCGUAACGGAGGAGCACGAAGGUUAGCUAAUCCUGGUCGGACAUCAGGAGGUUAGUGCAAAGGCAUAAGCUAGCUUGACUGCGAGAGUGACAGCUCGAGCAGGUGCGAAAGCAGGUCUUAGUGAUCCGGUGGUUCUGAAUGGAAGGGCCAUCGCUCAACGGAUAAAAGGUACUCCGGGGAUAACAGGCUGAUACCGCCCAAGAGUUCAUAUCGACGGCGGUGUUUGGCACCUCGAUGUCGGCUCAUCACAUCCUGGGGCUGAAGUAGGUCCCAAGGGUAUGGCUGUUCGCCAUUUAAAGUGGUACGCGAGCUGGGUUUAGAACGUCGUGAGACAGUUCGGUCCCUAUCUGCCGUGGGCGUUGGAAGAUUGAGAGGGGUUGCUCCUAGUACGAGAGGACCGGAGUGAACGCACCACUGGUGUACGGGUUGUGAUGCCAAUUGCAUUGCCCGGUAGCUAAGUGCGGAAGAGAUAACCGCUGAAAGCAUCUAAGCGGGAAACUUGCCUCGAGAUGAGUCUUCCCUAGACACUUGAUGUCCCUGAAGGGCCGUUGAAGACGACGACGUAGAUAGGCUGGGUGUGUAAGCGUAGCGAUACGUUGAGCUAACCAGUACUAAUGACCCGAGAGGCUUAACCUUACAACACCGAAGGUGUUU